Molecule: small RNA, 1776 nt
Filed under: Pan troglodytes (chimpanzee)
Lineage: Eukaryota; Metazoa; Chordata; Mammalia; Primates; Hominidae
Description: retained intron
Source: RNAcentral
CCAGGUCUCAGUGCUGUGUCCCCCCAGAGCCUAGAGGAUGUUUCAUGGGAUCCCAGCCACUCCGGGCAUAGGAGGUGAGUGUGGCUGGAAGGGCGCAGGCUUUCAGCCCGUUCUGCAGGGGCUGACGGGCAGUAUUGGGUAUUGGGGAUCGGGGGUGGGGAGGUAUCUGACCCUGCUCUCAUACAGCCUUGGGGGUGGCCAGGGGCUAAAUAGUUCAUCGCAGGAGCACUGAGGGCUCAGAAACCUCCAGACAGAACCGGCUUGGUCCUGCUGGGCAGAGAUGAUGAGCUUCGGUGUGGCCAGAACGGUGGGGGUCCUGGGCACCCUGUGUCACCAAUCCCAGGGGAGAGGCUGUGUGUGGUGAGCCUUGUUGGCACUGCAUCAUGAGCCACGAGCAGGGCGUGGCCACUGUUGUGCAGGUGACUCCGCCAGGGAGCCAUGGUGGAGCUGGGGAGCUGGGCCUGUCAUGCGGUCCCCCGGGGAGCCGCAGUGGAGCUGGGGAGCUGGGCCUGUCAUGCGGCCCCCGGCUUCUCAGAGGUGUUAUCAUCAGGUCCCCCCCACACACUGAUAGGGGUGAGGUUGGAACCUCUGUGCUCCAGCUCCCUCUAGGCUCUUUGGGACCCAGCCUGGGAGGCCUCAGGGAGGAACUGAAAUGGAGGCUGGGACUGGAGUCUGCCCUUGGGUUCCCUUUGGGGCCAGCCUGCCAGCUCUCUGCCUUCUCUUGCAGCCCCUGGGAACAAGCCGGAGCUGUAUGAGGUGAGUGGUGGGUGCCCACCCGGCCGGCAUUGGCCAACAGCAAAUGCCUGUGUGGCCUCACCAGGGUCCUGCAGCCCCUGUUGGCACUGGCCCACAGAGCCCGCUCUCUCCGGCAGGAAGUGAAGUUGUACAAGAACGCCCGGGAGAGGGAGAAGUACGACAACAUGGCAGAGCUGUUUGCGGUGGUGAAGACAAUGCAAGCCCUGGAGAAGGCCUACAUCAAGGACUGUGUCUCCCCCAGCGAGUACACUGCAGCCUGCUCCCGACUCCUGGUCCAAUACAAAGCUGCCUUCAGGCAGGUCCAGGGCUCAGAAAUCAGCUCUAUUGACGAAUUCUGCCGCAAGUUCCGCCUGGACUGCCCGCUGGCCAUGGAGCGGAUCAAGGAGGACCGGCCCAUCACCAUCAAGGACGACAAGGGCAACCUCAACCGCUGCAUUGCAGACGUGGUCUCGCUCUUCAUCACGGUCAUGGACAAGCUGCGCCUGGAGAUCCGCGCCAUGGAUGAGAUCCAGCCCGACCUGCGAGAGCUGAUGGAGACCAUGCACCGCAUGAGCCACCUCCCACCCGACUUCGAGGGCCGCCAGACGGUCAGCCAGUGGUGGGUGUCCCUCCCAGCCAGGCAGAGCCCCGCAGUGCCCCUGAGGCCCUCCCAGCCAGGCGGAGCCCCCGCAGUGCCCCUGAGGCCCUCUGCCCCCACAUGCCCUGUGCUGCACUCCCAGGCUGCAGACCCUGAGCGGCAUGUCGGCGUCAGAUGAGCUGGACGACUCACAGGUGCGUCAGAUGCUGUUCGACCUGGAGUCAGCCUACAACGCCUUCAACCGCUUCCUGCAUGCCUGAGCCCGGGGCGCCAGCCCUUGCACAGAAGGGCAGAGUCUGAGGCGAUGGCUCCUGGUCCCCUGUCCGCCACACAGGCCCUGGUCAUCCACACAACUCACUGUCUGCAGCUGCCUGUCUGGUGUCUGUCUUUGGUGUCAGAACUUUGGGGGCCGGGCCCCUCCCCACAAUAAAGAUGCUCUCCGA